Molecule: RNase P RNA, 426 nt
Filed under: Candidatus Kentrum eta
Lineage: Bacteria; Pseudomonadati; Pseudomonadota; Gammaproteobacteria
Description: Candidatus Kentron sp. H Bacterial RNase P class A
Rfam family: Bacterial RNase P class A
About the family: Ribonuclease P (RNase P) is a ubiquitous endoribonuclease, found in archaea, bacteria and eukarya as well as chloroplasts and mitochondria. Its best characterised activity is the generation of mature 5'-ends of tRNAs by cleaving the 5'-leader elements of precursor-tRNAs.
Source: RNAcentral
GGAGUUGGCCAGGCAGUCGCUGUGCCGGCGGACCUUGCCGUCGAUGGCAAAGGUUCGGUGUCGGUGUAGAGGAAAGUCCGGGCUCCACAGGGCAGGGUGCCAGGUAACGCCUGGGGGAUGAAAGCAGUCGGUUGGCUGCCCAAGUUCACGGAAAGUGCCACAGAAAACAUACCGCUCGUUUUCCCUUCACGGGGAAGGCGGGUAAGGGUGAAAAGGUGCGGUAAGAGCGCACCGCGCCCCAGGUAACUGGGGUGGCAGGGUAAACCCCACCUGGAGCAAGACCAAAUAAGGGGCAGGUUGUGUCCUUGCGCAUAACCAGGCGUGGUCCGCGCCGGCCCCGGGUAGGUCGCUGGAGGCGUAUGGCGACAUACGUCCAAGAUGAAUGACUGCCCAAGACAGAACCCGGCUUACAGGCCGGCUCCCACA